AAGCUGUGAUGAUUUAUGCACACAAUGUGGCACCUUGGGGUCGCCACGAUAUUCUGAUCGUCAGGAAGGAAAUUCUAGUGCAUCUGAGCUU
This is a non-coding RNA of Spinacia oleracea (spinach), 91 nucleotides long. The record is from Rfam. NCBI's taxonomy places the organism in Eukaryota, Viridiplantae, Streptophyta, Magnoliopsida, Caryophyllales, Amaranthaceae.